ACUGUUUCAAACUGUUUAUCAAACUGUUUUACUUCAAAAUGUUUUACAAACUCUUUUACUUAUCAAAUACUUUUAUUUAAACUUUAUUAUACUUCUUAUAAAUUGCAUGUCCAUAUAUGCAUAGAUAUAUAAGAAAUGUUUAAAAGGCUUAGGAAGGCCAUCCGCCCUAUUUCCUUUUCCUCGAUUUGGAUGUGGUCUGGUGGGAUGUCGGGUAGCCGUCCGAGGGUCGUUUCAAUAUUAACUAUAUAUCAUAUGUGCACAUAUAGACAUAAAAGUACUCCCAUAUUCAUGUGUAUCAGUUACAUCAUUAGUAAGUUACCAUCGGGGUAACACAGGAUCAUACUACUACAAUUUCUAGAUCAAUGAGUCAGUUCAUUCAUGAGUCAAUACUUAUUACUAUGAGAACAUAUANAACUAUACUAAAGAGAACAUAUACAACUAUAAUAGAAAGAGAACAUAUACAACUAUACUAGAAAGGGAACAUAUAGGACUAUAUUAGAAAUAGAGCAUGUACAACUAUAAUAGGAAGAGAACAUAUACAACGAUACUAGAACAGGAACAAUACAUUACAUAUACAUACAUACACUUACAUAAAUGUGAUCCACUGUAUCGGAGCAUGCCUUAAAUGUCAUGGCCCGAGUUGUAACCAGAGUCUCUUGGAGGGAGAGCGUGAGUUUGCGUAUAGAUCUAUACUGGAUUGACUAUCCUACACCUUGCUGCUAGCUACAGCCGGACCUGCAGGUCUGCGGGUGCCAAACGUCAUACCUUUUUACGACCUACAUUUGUCGUUGUUACUCAGUCGAUAGUAUGGUACAAUUAAUCACAUGAUACCUUAAUAUAAAUCCGGUUUAAGGUAGUUAGUACAGCAGUAGUUCCUAUAAUACAACACUACAGUACUACAUUAAUUUACCCAUUACAUACAUUUAGUGAUUAUUUCACUUAAACAUUAAUGUACAAACUACAUUUUGUUAAUGAUAGUUACACUUGGGAAAUUACACACUUUUACAACAAACGAACAUACAAAACAGUUAAGCCUUGGUAGAAGGCUACUUUAAUAGAAAAUAUAGGUUUUUCUGAGAGAUUCAAACUUUUACAAACACUUACAAACAUUUACAUACAUUUUACAAACUUACAAUGGAGACAUGUUCAAACGUUUUGAUAACAAACACCGACACUAAAAUACUUAUGAACUCACCAGCUUAAAUGCUGAUAAACUCUUUCAAAAUAACUUGUUUUCUAAGGUCAUCAGUAGGCAGGUACCGAGACCAGCUUUUGAGAAGAUGGAGCGCAUUCAAGACUCAUCUCUUUAUUUGGAUUUACAUUAUUUUGGUGUCUGUAACUAUACAGAACACACUUGUAUUAAAAUUACAUAUUUAAUGCAAUGGAUGAUGUUGUUUACUUAUUUACAUUUACUGUGUUGUGAUACUAUACAUGACGUCCUCCGCCCUAGAACGUUUCUGCCGUUCUUGGUUUUGGGGUGUGACAGAUUGGUAUCAGAGCAUUGUUUAUAGUGAAUCAAGUAUAUCAACCCAUAAAAGAUAUACUAAACUAUAAACCCAUUAGGGAUUAAAGCACUCUGACCAAGAGUCUAUACUUUAAAUAUUAAAAUAUUUAAUUNACUAGGCUGCAUUCAUACUAAAAUCAGUGUCACAAUGACAAGAAUAAAAGUAUUACGAUUGUUAAAUAUCGCAAGUGAGCUCGAGGAUGUAUGGUCAGUCUUGGGAAUAGCAUAGCCUGAUCAACUAUGCUGGUCCGAGGAUUGAUUAGCAUAUGCCCUAGAAUGGUUGUGAUGUGUUAACAAGUCUAAAAACUUACCAACACUACUACAAUGGGAACACUAGAACAGAGCAUAGGUUUAAAAUACUAUAGGUGUACUUUGUACUACUAGCUACAUAUAUACUAUAUUCUUAUGCCUCUCUUCUCGCGUAGAUAUCAUGGCUGGAUUCCAUCACGGCGACCCGUACUUUCCAGAUGAAGGCUAUGCAGGGUGGAUCGAAGAAGAGCCCGAAGAUGAGCAUCCAAUCCCUUUGGAUGAUCACCUUGCAGGAGGCUUUUCUGAUGGAUCCGACUCAGAGCCUGAAGUCAACAACCUACCGCUAGUAGGUCAAGCCCCGAACCAUGAUCCUCGACCAGCAUUUCCAGGUCCCACUCCUUUGUGGGUAAACAACUUGAAUCGCUGGAGCGACGAACAGGUUCAACCCUUACCUUACUUUGGGGACCGAAGCUUUUACAACAUUAGCGAAGGUGGUUCUGCAGAUAGAGCUCUGCCAGUCAUGGUCCGUAGAAUUGCUCGAAACGUCGAACAAGGUCGAGCAGCCAUCGACCGAGUCAUGGAAAUUGAUGCCAACUCAGGCGUUAAUACCGUCCGUAUUCGACAUCUAGAAGAAGCGCUCGAAGGGACGAGGAUAACUAAUGACGCACUGCGACGGCAAUUAACCACCGAAAUCGCAGAACAUCGAGUUCGCCAAAGAGCUCACGAACGACACCUUCAAGAAGUGGUUCGCCAACUGGCAGAUAUGAGGAUUCGCCCUAGGAAUUCCCGUCGUUGUUAGAAGAUUUCUAGUACAUCUUUGUCUUUUGAUUAAGGAAUAGCCUUUAGUAUAUGGACUUUUAGUAACGCUUGUCUGUAAAAUAUUCCUAACUCUUAGUACGUUAACUAGGAAUCUAGUGACUGUCAAACUUUUCCGUAUGGUAUGAUGUAAGACCUACUGUUAGGUCAAAUUUUUUCCCUGAACACAUUACAUCAAUAAUACCAUUAAUAUUGACAGCUAUCUAAUCUGUGAGAAAAUCUUUACACUUGCGUUUUCCUACUGUUCUUCCCUAUUGUGACCUUGAUUCGUACACUCAUUCAACUGUUGGACUAUGGCUAUUUAGUCCAUGUGUCGCUCUCAACUUGCUUACAAUUGAUUCUUACCAUUGUAUCUAUCUUUAUAAACUUAUAGCUGAAAUAUGCCUCCACGUAAGUCAACAAGACGUNCCCCCCCCCCCCCCUCCUCCUGUCAUCGAUACCGCGACUCUAAAUGCUACAGUAGCUGCGGCAGUGGCAACUGCCAUGGCUCAAUAUCACUCAACUAACAACAGCCAAGGUGGAACCCCUGUUGAAUCUACUCAUGCUGAGAUCCAUGUGCGCACGAGAGAAUGCUCCUACAAGGAUUUCACCAACUGUAAGCCGAAGUCCUUUUAUGGAACCAGCGGAGUCAUUGCCCUCUUGUAAUGGUUCGAGAAGAAUGAAUCGGUCUUCGAAAUCUGUUCAUGCCCUACUGCGAGCAAAGUCAAAUAUGCCGCAUGCACCUUUGAAGGGAAAGCUCUGACAUGGUGGAACGGCCACAUUAAAGCUCUAACUCUCGUCGGAGCCAACGACAUGGGCUGGGAAACAAUGAAAGACCUCAUGAUUGAGGAGUACUGCCCGAGGGGCGAAAUCCAUAAAUUAGAGCAAAAACUGUGGGGCCUAACCAUGAAGGGCUCCAACAUAGUCGCUUAUACCGCCAGGUUCAGUGAACUGGUGGCUCUUUGCCCCAAUAUGGUUCCCACUGAAGGGAAAAAGAUCGAAAGGUACAUCUGGGGGCUGGUGCCUCCGUACCAAGGAAAUGUCCUAUCAUCAAACCCUACUACUUUCGAUAGUGCCAAGCGGCUGGCACAGCGACUCAUCGACCAUGGAAUCCAAUCCCCAACAGCGACAACAACCCAAGCCGUCUCAGAACCCUCCAAACCCGCUGACUCUAAGCGGAAGUUCUGGGAUGACAAGAAGAAGCAGCGAGCUGCCAAAAAGCAGCAAAUUGUGGCUGUACAUGCUGCGAUAACCCCUACUGCUGCUACUGCUCCGGUGAAGCAAUAUGCUGGAAGUUUGCCUAAGUGCAACAAAUGCAACUUCCACCACAACCGGCCCUGCCGUGAAAUGCAGUGUUCUAACUGCGACAAGAAAGGACACACUGUCCGUUUCUGUAGGUCUCCGGCAAGACCGAUCACUCAAGUCCCUGGCUCAGGCGCGAGCCCAACCUGCUAUGGAUGUGGUGAAGCAGGCCACUACAAGAGGGACUGCCCCAAAGCAAAGAAUGCAGGUGGAUAGGGGAGAGUACUGGCAAUAAGCCAUGGGGAAGCGGUUGCUGACCCGACGGUGGUGACUGGUACGUUCCUUCUCGAUAACUCCUAUGCAUGCAUUCUGUUCGAUAAUGGAGCGGAGCGAAGCUUCGUGAACCAUAAAUUUGCUCACAUACUUAAACAUCAACCGCACGCACUUAAAGAACAAUUCACGGUAGAAAUGGCUAAUGGGAAAACUGAAAGCACUAGGAGUAUAUAUUUAGGAUGCAACCUAACUUUAGAUAACCAUUCAUUUCCAGUCGACCUCAUGCCGGUUUCAAUUAAAAGCUUCGACGUUAUCAUCGACAUGGAUUGGUUGAGUCUUCAUCGCGCCGACAUCAUGUGCUUCGAGAAAGCAAUCCGUCUAAACCUCCCGUUUAAGGAAACUCUUAUCGUCUACGACGACAAACACAGUACAAGUCUUCGUAUUAUCUCCAGUAUUCAAGCAUGGAAAUAUCUACGUAAGGAAUAUCAUGCAUUCCUUGCUCACGUUGUCGAUACAAGCCUAGAAACGAAAGAAAUAAAAGACAUUCCAGUAGUGAGCGACUUCACCGACAUUUUCCCAGAAGAGCUACCAGGAUUACCUCCACAACGACAAGUCGAGUUCAAAAUCAACUUAAUUCAUGGAGCUACCCCAGUAGCCAAGUCGCCAUACCGAUUAGCACCAGCUGAGAUGCAGGAAUUAUCUGGUCAUCUUAACGAACUGCUCAGCAAAGGCUUUAGAAGACCGAGUUUCUCACCUUGGGGAGCACCGGUCUUAUUCGUUAAGAAGAAUGACAGAUCAUUCCGUAUGUGUAUCGACUACAGGGAACUCAACAAACUGACGGUCAAAAACCGUUACCCUCUGCCUCGCAUCGACGAUUUAUUCGACUAACUCCAACGGGCAAAUUAUUUUUCCAAAAUUGAUCUGAUAUCCGGAUAUCACCAGUUACGAGUGCUAGAGGAGGAUGUGCCGAAGACAGCCUUCCGAACUCAUUACAGACACUAUGAGUUUGUGGUGAUGUCAUUCGGACUGACCAAUGCGCCCGCAGUUUUCAUGGAUCUGAUGAAUCGAGUAUGCCGACCUUAAUUGGAUCAGUUCGUAAUUGUCUUCAUCGAUGACAUCUUGAUCUACUCCCGGAGUAAGGAAGAGCAUGGAAAUCACCUACGACAAGUUCUAAGAACUUUACGAACGGAGAAGCUCUAUGCAAAGUUCUCGAAAUGUGAAUUUUGGAUCCGAAGAGUCGAAUUCUUAGGACAUGUGGUAAGCGAAGAGGGAAUCCACGUAGAUCCGUCCAAAAUUAAGGCUAUUGAGAACUGGUCAGCACCAAAGACGCCUACAGAAUUUCGUCAAUUUCUAGGUCUUGCUGGCUACUACCGCAGAUUCAUACAGAACUUCUCCAGUAUUGAAAAACCUCUUACAACACUGACCCAUAAGGGCGCGGCCUUUAACUGGGAAGAGAAACAAGAGACAGCAUUUCAAACGCUCAAGCGAGCCUUGUGCACUGCACCAAUACUAUCCCUACCCGAAGGAAUAGAAGAAUUCGUAGUCUAUUGCGAUGCAACGGGGUAAGGUCAUCGCCUACGCCUCGAGACAACUAAAGACACACGAAGUCAACUACACCACACAUGAUCUUGAGCUGGGGGCAGUUGUAUUUGCCCUGAAGAUCUGGAGACAUUACCUGUAUGGCACCAAAAGCACCAUUUUUACUGACCGCAAGAGUUUACAACACAUAUUCGAUCAGAAGGAGCUCAACAUGCGUCAACGAGGGUGGGUUGAGCUACUCAAUGACUACGAAUGCGACAUUCGUUAUCACCCGGGUAAAGCCAACGUAGUAGCAGACGCCCUAAUUCGGAAGGAAUAUUCUGGUCGAAGAGUCAAGUCGUUGACAAUGACUAUCCAUUCGCACUUGUCUAAACAAAUUCAGGCGGCUUAACUUGAAGCAAUGAAACCUGAACAUGUGGCGAGUGAAUCCCUCAGAGGAAUGGAUAAGAACUUAGAAGCCAAGGGUGAUGGGGCCCUAUUUUUCAUGAAACGGAUCUGGACCCCGAAGCACGGUGGUUUCCAAGACUUGGUCAUGACUGAGGCACACAACACUCGGUAUUCCGUCCACCCAGGUUCGGAUAAGAUGUAUCUGGAUCUUAAAAAGCUAUACCGGUGGCCUAAUAUGAAAGCAGAGAUUGCUACCUUCGUAAGUAAAUGCCUUACUUGCGCAAAGGUCAAGGUCGAGUACCAGAAACCCUCUGGUUUACUGCAACAACCAGAGAUCCCAGAAUGGAAGUGGGAGCGGAUCACUAUGGAUUUCAUAACCAAGUUGCCCAAGACAACGGGUGGACUUGAUACCAUAUGGGUCAUCGUCGAUAGAUUGACCAAGUCUGCACACUUCCUACCUAUCAAGGAAACUGAUAAGAUGGAGAAACUUAUGAGAACAUACAUUAGGGAAAUCAUGCGACUACAUGGUGUUCCUAUAUCCAUUAUCUCCGAUAGAUAUUAUAGGUUCACCUCAAGAUUCUGGCAAUCACUACAACAUUCCCUAGGAACAAGGCUAGACAUGAGCACAGCCUACCAUCCUCAGACCGACGGGCAAAGUGAGAGGACCAUCCAAACACUGGAAGAUAUGCUGAGAGCCUGUGUGAUUGAUUUUGGAAAGGCAUGGGAUACUCACUUACCUCUUUUCGAAUUUUCCUACAACAACAAUUAUCACACGAGCAUCAAGACUGCCCCAUUUGAAGCCCUCUACGGGCGGAAGUGCAGAUCCCCUCUGUGCUGGGCUGAAGUGGGUGACACCCAGUUGGAUAAGGGGCAAACUUCUGACAGUACUCUCACAGGCCCGGAAAUCAUUCGGGAAACGACGGAGAAGAUCGUUCAGACCCGUGAACGAUUGAAAGCCUCCAGAGACCGACAGAAAAGCUACGCCGAUAAACGUAGAAAACCGUUGGAAUUCCAGGUGGGCGACCGCGUUUUAUUGAAGGUCUCACCCUGGAAGGGCUUAAUACGAUUCAGAAAGCAGGGAAAGCUAAAUCCAAGGUACAUUGGGCCUUUCGAGAUUCUCGCAAGAAUUGGCGCAGUAGCUUACAAACUCAAUCUACCGAACGAACUUCGUAACGUACAUUCUACCUUCCACGUUUCCAACUUGAAAAAGUGUCUAUCUGAUGAGACUCUUGUAAUCCCACUCGACGAGAUCGAGAUCAACGAGAGCCUCAACUUCGUGGAAGAACCCGUAGAAGUCAUGGACCGUGAUGUCAAAAGGACGAAACAAUGCCGCAUCCCAAUUGUGAAGGUUCGCUGGAACGCCAAGCGAGGACCGGAAUUUACAUGGGAGCGAGAGGAUCAGAUGAAACUGGAAUAUCCUCAUCUUUUUACUUAGUUACUUGUAAUAACCUAGUAGCUUAAACUCAAAUUUCGGGACGAAAUUCCCUCUAACAGGGGAUGACGUGACAACCCGAAAUAGUUCUCGCAUACAUCCUUCAUUUCUUAUCAAUAUUAGAAUCAUUUUACUAUAUGGUAGUACCAUUUAGAGUCUUUUGAAGCAUUCUAAAUGUGAUGUAAUCAAGGUAGGAGUGUUAAAAAGGGUUAACUCGAAGUUUAGGAAUCAAAACCGGGCCAAACACUCCAACACAUGGAGUGUGCGGCUACACACUUGAGUGUGCGGCCACACACUCUUGUUUGCGGCCUCACACCCUUCCCAACCGCAACUCCACCUAUAUAUACCACACUUGAAUCAUUUUUGAACAUUUCCCUCACUUCUUCAAGCAUAGAACACGAAAUCCUCUCAAGUAUCAUCCAUCCUCCUUGAAGAUCUUCAUAAAAAGGUACCAAGAAUACCAAGAACACCAAGAACACCAAGAACACCAAGAUCAACAUCUGGCCGCACAUAUGGCAGCACACACCAUCUGGCAGCACACAUGGCCGCACACAUGUUAUGGCAGCACACUAGGCCGCACACCUGGCCGCACACACCCAUAUAGUAUGUAUUUUGGCCAUACACCCUCUUGUAUAGCCUUAUAAACCCUCAUACAAUCAUAUAUGAUUAUAACACUUCAUUAUAAGUGUUUACUAGUCCCUAAGAUGGUCCCAAAAUCAUCAAUUAGUUGUUCAUAACACUAAUUUUAUCCAUAUAUGUGCCAUUAUAUGCUAAAUAGGAUUCGCGUGUGUACUCAAGUCACCACUUGACACCUAGCAUCAAAUCCAACUUUGUCAUCAGAACCACUCACUACAGAUGAGUUCAUACCCCUUUAAUUAACCUUUGAAAUACUUUUAAAUGUUUUAAAUACUUUUAUGGGGGCGGGGGAAUACAAGUCGAAUACUUAUAGUUAUUACAUCAAUCACAUGUGAUUAAUAACUACAAAACCAAUGAUUUCAUCACUGUUUCAAACUGUUUAUCAAACUGUUUUACUUAAAAAUGUUUUACAAACUCUUUUACUUAUCAAAUACUUUUAUUUAAACUUUAUUAUACUUCUUAUAAAUUGCAUGUCCAUAUAUGCAUAGAUAUAUAAGAAAUGUUUAAAAGGCUUAGGAAGGCCAUCCGCCCUAUUUCCUUUUCCUUGAUUUGGAUGUGGUUUGGUGGGAUGUCGGGUAGCCGUCCGAGGGUCGUUUCAAUAUUAACUAUAUAUCAUAUGUGCAUAUAUAGACAUAAAAUUACUCCCAUAUUCAUGCGUAUCAGUUACAUCAUUAGUAAGUUACCAUCGGGGUAACACAUGAUCAUACUACUACAAUUUCUAGAUCAAUGAGUCAGUUCAUUCAUGAGUCAAUACUUAUUACUAUGAGAACAUAUACAUUACAUUACUAUGAGAACGUUUACAACUAUGCUAGAAAGAGAACAUAUACAACUAUAAUAGAAAGAGAACAUAUACAACUAUACUAGAAAGGGAACAUAUACGACUAUACUAGAAAGAGAGCAUAUACAACUAUAAUAGGAAGAGAACAUAUACAACGAUACUAGAACAAGAACAAUACAUUAGAUAUACAUACAUACACUUAAAUAAAUGUGAUCCACUGUAUCGGAGCAUGCCUUAAAUGUCAUGGCCCGAAUUGUAACCAGAGUCUCUUGGAGGGAGAGCGUGAGUUUGCGUAUAGAUCUAUACUGGAUUGACUAUCCUACACCUUGCUGCUAGCUACAGCCGGACCUGCAGGUCUGCGGGUGCCAAACGUCAUANUACAUUUUUCAUUGUUACUCAGUCGAUAGUAUGGUACAAUUAAUCACUUGAUACCUUAAUAUAAAUCCGGUUUAAGGUAGUUAGUACAACAGUAGUUCCUAUAAUACAACACUACAGUACUACAUUAAUUUACCCAUUACAUACAUUUAGUGAUUACUUCACUUAAACAUUAAUGUACAAACUAUAUUUUGUUAAUGAUAGUUACACUUGGGAAAUUACACACUUUUACAACAAACGAACAUACAAAACAGUUAAGCCUUGGAGGAAGACGACUUUAAUAGAAAAUAUAGGUUUUUCUAAGAGAUUCAAACUUUUACAAACACUGACAAACAUUUACAUACAUUUUAGAAACUUACAAUGGAGACAUGUUCAAACGUUUUGAUAACAAACAUCGACACUAAAUUACUUAUGAACUCACCAGCUUAAAUGCUGAUAAACUAUUUCAAAAUAACUUGUAUUCUCAGGUCAUCAGUAGGCAGGUACCGAGACCAGCUUUUGAGAAGAUGGAGCGCAUUCAGGACUCAUCUCUUUAUUUUGAUUUACAUUAUUUUGGUGUCUAUAACUAUAUAGAACACACUUGUAUUAAAAUUACAUAUUUA
Molecule: long non-coding RNA, 9812 nt
Filed under: Lactuca sativa (garden lettuce)
Lineage: Eukaryota; Viridiplantae; Streptophyta; Magnoliopsida; Asterales; Asteraceae
Description: long non-coding RNA (LSAT_LNC001652)
Source: RNAcentral